UACGAAGGGAGCUAGCGUUGUUCGGAAUCACUGGGCGUAAAGCGCACGUAGGCGGAUUUGUCAGUCAGGGGUGAAAUCCCGGGGCUCAACCUCGGAACUGCUUUUGAUACAGCAAGUCUUGAGUUCGAGAGAGGUGGGUGGAAUUCCUAGUGUAGAGGUGAAAUUCGUAGAUAUUAGGAAGAACACCGGUGGCGAAGGCGGCCCACUGGCUCGAUACUGACGCUGAGGUGCGAAAGCGUGGGGAGCAAACAGG
Molecule: ribosomal RNA, 253 nt
Filed under: uncultured bacterium
Lineage: Bacteria
Description: partial 16S ribosomal RNA
Rfam family: Bacterial small subunit ribosomal RNA
Source: RNAcentral